This 253-nucleotide ribosomal RNA is filed under the name uncultured bacterium. RNAcentral's name for it is "partial 16S ribosomal RNA". It matches the Rfam family "Bacterial small subunit ribosomal RNA", at positions 524 to 776 of the family's 1533-position model. The record is from RNAcentral.
GACGGAGGAUGCAAGCGUUAUCCGGAAUGAUUGGGCGUAAAGCGUCCGCAGGUGGCAGUUCAAGUCUGCUGUCAAAGACCGGGGCUUAACUUCGGAAAGGCAGUGGAAACUGAACAGCUAGAGUAUGGUAGGGGCAGAGGGAAUUCCUGGUGUAGCGGUGAAAUGCGUAGAGAUCAGGAAGAACAUCGGUGGCGAAGGCGGCAUCCUGGACCGGUAUUGACGCUGAGGCGCGAAAGCCAGGGGAGCAAACGGG